Molecule: ribosomal RNA, 934 nt
Filed under: Pantoea anthophila
Lineage: Bacteria; Pseudomonadati; Pseudomonadota; Gammaproteobacteria; Enterobacterales; Erwiniaceae
Description: bacterial SSU rRNA
Rfam family: Bacterial small subunit ribosomal RNA
Source: RNAcentral
UAUGACGUUUUACAGAUGAGCACCGCUGAACUCGUUUCAGCAAAUCAAACUUUAAAUUGUAUAGUUUGAUCAUGGCUCAGAUGGAACGCUGGCGGCAGACCUAACACAUGCAAGUCGGACGGUAGCACAGAGGAACUUGCUCCUUGGGUGACGAGUGGCGGACGGGUGAGUAAUGUCUGGGGAUCUGCCCGAUAGAGGGGGAUAACCACUGGAAACGGUGGCUAAUACCGCAUAACGUCGCAAGACCAAAGAGGGGGACCUUCGGGCCUCUCACUAUCGGAUGAACCCAGAUGGGAUUAGCUAGUAGGCGGGGUAAUGGCCCACCUAGGCGACGAUCCCUAGCUGGUCUGAGAGGAUGACCAGCCACACUGGAACUGAGACACGGUCCAGACUCCUACGGGAGGCAGCAGUGGGGAAUAUUGCACAAAUGGGCGCAAGCCUGAUGCAGCCAUGCCGCGUGUAUGAAGAAGGCCUUCGGGUUGUAAAGUACUUUUCAGCGGGGAGGAAGGCGGUGAGGUUAAUAACCUCACCGAUUGACGUUACCCGCAGAAGAAGCACCGGCUAACUCCGUGCCAGCAGCCGCUGUAAUACGGAGGGUGCAAGCGUUAAUCGGAAUUACUGGGCGUAAAGCGCACGCAGGCGGUCUGUUAAGUCAGAUGUGAAAUCCCCGGGCUUAACCUGGGAACUGCAUUUGAAACUGGCAGGCUUGAGUCUCGUAGAGGGGGGUAGAAUUCCAGGUGUAGCGGUGAAAUGCGUAGAGAUCUGGAGGAAUACCGGUGGCGAAGGCGGCCCCCUGGACGAAGACUGACGCUCAGGUGCGAAAGCGUGGGGAGCAAACAGGAUUAGAUACCCUGGUAGUCCACGCCGUAAACGAUGUCGACUUGGAGGUUGUUCCCUUGAGGAGUGGCUUCCGGAGCUAACGCGUUAAGUCGAC